CCUUUCCGGGCGCUACAUAUCCUGCUAAAGUUUUAAUUGAUCCAGAAUCCACACACACUUUUACUUCACCCACGUUCGCACCUAAGUUAAAGGUUGACCCAAUUCCCUUGGAUCGUGUAUUAAAGGUGUCUAUGCCAACGAGCGGCUCUCUGUAUACCAAUGUAAAAUAUAAAUCUUAUGUAGUAGAAAUUUCAGGAGUAACACUAGAGGU
This 211-nucleotide long non-coding RNA is filed under the name Carica papaya (papaya). RNAcentral's name for it is "long non-coding RNA (CPAP_LNC004276)". The record is from RNAcentral. Lineage: Eukaryota; Viridiplantae; Streptophyta; Magnoliopsida; Brassicales; Caricaceae.